Molecule: long non-coding RNA, 595 nt
Organism: Dryobates pubescens (Downy woodpecker)
Lineage: Eukaryota; Metazoa; Chordata; Aves; Piciformes; Picidae
Exons: 3
Source: RefSeq, a predicted model, not a curated record
UGGGAAAUGUCUCUGCUGCUCCGCUGCACCCUACCCAACGUGAACUGAGAGCUGCUUGGCUGCAGUCACCAUGCACAUGAGAAUGGUGAUAGCAUUCAAUCCUCACAGCAGGCCACUUACUUUGGCUUUUAUUGAGUCAGAAAUGGAUGUGUUUUCUGGGAGUCUGCUCUGGGAGUGCCUGGGGAAUAAACUGGAGGAACAAUGUGAUAUCCAGGAUUCCAGUGAAGCCAGGAACCUCUGCUGCUGUCUCCUCCUCUACACCAAGCAGUAGAUGAUGAAUCCUCUUUGACAGUCUGAUUAUGCUCAAGAAGAAAGGCCCAUCCUGGUGCAGUCCCAGGGGAGAAGGAUUAACAACCCUGGAAGCAGUGAAAGAAGAUUCACGCUGAUGUGAAGAAGACAGAUGCAUGUGUAGUCCAAGUUCAGCUUGGCAGUCGUGCUGAAAAUGCCAAUCCAACAAUUUUAAUGCUGGCAAGAAGAAGACAUUUAUGAUGUGACUGGGGAAGGGAUGGCUCCUUCCAGCUCAGAGUGAGCUACAGCAGGGAGCCUGCUCUCCCAAACAGCCUCUUGGGUGCCAAGGGUGGCUUUUUCCUGCAAG